RNAcentral lists this ribosomal RNA (402 nucleotides) under uncultured Streptococcus sp. RNAcentral describes it as "bacterial SSU rRNA". It matches the Rfam family "Bacterial small subunit ribosomal RNA", at positions 979 to 1382 of the family's 1533-position model. Lineage: Bacteria; Bacillati; Bacillota; Bacilli; Lactobacillales; Streptococcaceae. The record is from RNAcentral.
UCUUGACAUCCCGAUGCUAUUUCUAGAGAUAGAAAGUUACUUCGGUACAUCGGUGACAGGUGGUGCAUGGUUGUCGUCAGCUCGUGUCGUGAGAUGUUGGGUUAAGUCCCGCAACGAGCGCAACCCCUAUUGUUAGUUGCCAUCAUUCAGUUGGGCACUCUAGCGAGACUGCCGGUAAUAAACCGGAGGAAGGUGGGGAUGACGUCAAAUCAUCAUGCCCCUUAUGACCUGGGCUACACACGUGCUACAAUGGUUGGUACAACGAGUUGCGAGUCGGUGACGGCGAGCUAAUCUCUUAAAGCCAAUCUCAGUUCGGAUUGUAGGCUGCAACUCGCCUACAUGAAGUCGGAAUCGCUAGUAAUCGCGGAUCAGCACGCCGCGGUGAAUACGUUCCCGGGCCUU